RNAcentral lists this ribosomal RNA (301 nucleotides) under uncultured bacterium. Its description in RNAcentral is "partial 16S ribosomal RNA". It matches the Rfam family "Bacterial small subunit ribosomal RNA", at positions 509 to 807 of the family's 1533-position model. The record is from RNAcentral.
CAGUAGCCGCGGUAAUACGUAGGGUGCAAGCGUUAAUCGGAAUUACUGGGCGUAAAGCGUGCGCAGGCGGUUAUAUAAGUCAGAUGUGAAAUCCCCGGGCUCAACCUGGGAACUGCAUUUGAGACUGUAUGGCUAGAGUGUGUCAGAGGGGGGUAGAACUCCACGUGUAGCAGUGAAAUGCGUAGAUAUGUGGGGGAAUACCGAUGGCGAAGGCAGCCCCCUGGGAUAACACUGACGCUCAUGCACGAAAGCGUGGGGAGCAAACAGGAUUAGAUACCCGCGUAGUCCCUGUCUCUUAUAC